Molecule: ribosomal RNA, 387 nt
Filed under: uncultured bacterium
Lineage: Bacteria
Description: partial 16S ribosomal RNA
Source: RNAcentral
AUACAUACGGAGGUAUGUUCGGAGGGCCGCCAACCGGAAAGAGGGAGUUAAUCUCAGAAAGUGUAUCGUAAUCCGGAUUGUAGAAUGCAAAUAGAAACAUGAAGUUGCCAUCGCUUGAAAUCACGGAUCAGCAUGUUGCUCUGAAUACACACAAGAGGCUCGAGAACAACAUCGGUCACACCAUGGUAUCGGGUUUUAUCCCAAGUAGGUGGCACAUCCGGACACGAGGGUGCUUACCACCGGAUGUCCCCCCUUGUGGCGUGCUCGCGUGACAUGCAUGCCUGAUUCACGCCGCCAACGUUCGUUCUGAGCCAUGAUCAAAGUUUAAUGGGAUCCCGACCGCAGAGGCGUGCAUGCAAGCUUCCCUAUAGUGAGUCGAUAGUGAUC